AACACUAAUAACAAUAUCAAUCUUCUCAUUUCUUGAUAACAAUAUACAUAAUUUAGCAAAACAAGAACACUAAUAACACUAUCAAUCUUCUCAUUUCUUGAUAACAAUAUACAAAAUUUAGCAAAACAAUAACACUAAUAACACUAUCAAUCUUCUCGUUUCUUGAUAACAAUAUACAAAAUUUAGUAAAACAACAACACUAAUAACACUAUCAAUCUUCUCAUUUCUUGAUAACAAUAUACAAAAUUUAUCGAAACAAGAACACUAAAAACACUAACAAUCUUCUCAUUUCUUGAUAACAAAAUACAUAAUUUAUCAAAACGAGAACACUAAUAACACUAUCAAUAUUCUCAUUUCUUGAUAACAAUAUACAAAAUUUAUCAAAACAAGAACACUAAUAACACUAUCAAUCUUCUCAUUUCUUGAUAACAAUUUACAAAAUUUAGCAAAACAAAAACACUAAUAACCCUAUCAAUCUUCUCAUUUCUUGAUAACAAUAUACAAAAUUUAGCUAAACAAGAACACUAAUAACACAAUCAAUCUUCUCAUUUCUUGAUAACAAUAUACAAAAUUUAGCAAAACAAGAACACUAAUAACACUAUCAAUCUUCUCAUUUCUUGAUAACAAUAUACAAAAUUUAGCAAAACAAGAACACUAAUAACACUAUCAAUCUUCUCAUUUCUUGAUAACAAUAUACAAAAUUUAGCAAAACAAGAACACUAAUAACACUAUCAAUCUUCUCAUUUCUUGAUAACAAUAUACAAAAUUUAGCAAAACAAGAACACUAAUAACACUAUCAAUCUUCUCAUUUCUUGAUAACAAUAUACAAAAUUUAGCAAAACAAGAACACUAAUAACACUAUCAAUCUUCUCAUUUCUUGAUAACAAUAUACAAAAUUUAGCAAAACAAGAACACUAAUAACACUAUCAAUCUUCUCAUUUCUUGAUAACAAUAUACAAAAUUUAGCAAAACAAGAACACUAAUAACACUAUCAAUCUUCUCAUUUCUUGAUAACAAUAUACAAAAUUUAGCAAAACAAGAACACUAAUAACACUAUCAAUCUUCUCAUUUCUUGAUAACAAUAUACAAAAUUUAGCAAAACAAGAACACUAAUAACACUAUCAAUCUUCUCAUUUCUUGAUAACAAUAUACAAAAUUUAGCAAAACAAGAACACUAAUAACACUAUCAAUCUUCUCAUUUCUUGAUAACAAUAUACAAAAUUUAGCAAAACAAGAACACUAAUAACACUAUCAAUCUUCUCAUUUCUUGAUAACAAUAUACAAAAUUUAGCAAAACAAGAACACUAAUAACACUAUCAAUCUUCUCAUUUCUUGAUAACAAUAUACAAAAUUUAGCAAAACAAGAACACUAAUAACACUAUCAAUCUUCUCAUUUCUUGAUAACAAUAUACAAAAUUUAGCAAAACAAGAACACUAAUAACACUAUCAAUCUUCUCAUUUCUUGAUAACAAUAUACAAAAUUUAGCAAAACAAGAACACUAAUAACACUAUCAAUCUUCUCAUUUCUUGAUAACAAUAUACAAAAUUUAGCAAAACAAGAACACUAAUAACACUAUCAAUCUUCUCAUUUCUUGAUAACAAUAUACAAAAUUUAGCAAAACAAGAACACUAAUAACACUAUCAAUCUUCUCAUUUCUUGAUAACAAUAUACAAAAUUUAGCAAAACAAGAACACUAAUAACACUAUCAAUCUUCUCAUUUCUUGAUAACAAUAUACAAAAUUUAGCAAAACAAGAACACUAAUAACACUAUCAAUCUUCUCAUUUCUUGAUAACAAUAUACAAAAUUUAGCAAAACAAGAACACUAAUAACACUAUCAAUCUUCUCAUUUCUUGAUAUCAAUAUACAAAAUUUAGCAAAACAAGAACACUAAUAACACUAUCAAUCUGCUCAUUUCUUGAUAACAAUAUACAAAAUUUAGCAAAACAAGAACAAUAAUAACACUAUCAAUCUUCUCAUUUCUUGAUAACAAUAUACAAAAUUUAGCAAAACAAGAACACUAAUCACACUAUCAAUCUUCUAUUUCUUGAUAACAAUAUACAAAAUUUAGCAAAAUAAGAACACUAAUAACACUAUCAAUCUUCUCAUUUCUUGAUAACAAUAUACAAAAUUUAGCAAAAUAAGAACCCUAAUAACACUAUCAAUCUUCUCAUUUCUUGGCAACAAUAUACAGAUUAGUAUGCUAAGAAAAAAGAAGCAAAGGAAUAACUCACGUAAUAGAGUCCUAAAGAUGUGCGUACGAAUAUAGGAGGCAGUGGUGUGGGCUUUGAAGCCAUCAUAAAUUCAAACGAACAGUGCGUCAUGACUUACAUCGACUUGGUCGUGAUCUUCCACAUCCUUAUUUGACUGAACAGAAGCCAUUGAGAAUUCUCCAUGGCAAUGCCUUUCAUUUUUGAGAGUUUUUGCUAAAGGGUCAGCGUCAAACAUUUCUUGAUAACAAUAACACUAAUAACACUAUCAAUCUUCAAACUUCUUGAUAACAAUAUACAAAAUUUAGCAAAACAAGAACACUAUUAACACUAUCAAUCUUCUCAUUUCUUGAUAACAAUAUACAAAAUUUAGCAAAACAAGAACACUAAUAACACUAUCAAUCUUCUUUUCUUGAAUAACAAUAUACAAAAAUUUAGCCAAAACAAGAACGACUAAUAACACUAAUUCAAUCUUCUCAUUUCUUGAUAACAUAUACAAAAUUUCAUCAAAAGAAAAAACACUAAUAACACUAUCAAUCUCUCAUUUCUUGAUAACAUAUAUUUAAAAUUUAGCAAACAAGAACACUAAUACCACGAUCAAUCUUCUCGGUUUCUUAUAUACAAUUAUACAAAAUUUAGCUAAAAACAGAAACACUAUAAGCAUCUCUCUUCUGAUCAAUAACAAUUUAUCACACACUUAACAUCAUCUUCAUUUGCUUGAUAACAAUACAAAAUUAGCAAAACAAGAACACUAAUAACACUAUCAAUCUUCUCAUUUCUUGAUAACAAUAUAAUAGAAUUAGCAAAACAAGAACACUAAUAACACUAUCAAUCUUCUCAUUUUUGCACAACCAAUAUACAGUAUUUAUGCUAAGAAAAAAGAAGCAAAGAAAUAACUCACGUAAUAGAGUUCAUAAAGAUGGUGCGUACGAAUAUAGGAAGCAGUGGUGUGGGCUUUGAGCCAUCAUAAAUUCAAACGAAUAGUGCGUCAGACUUACGAUCGGCUUGGGUUGUGACUUAAUCCUUUUUGGACAGAGCCUGAUCCAUGCAAUGCCUUUCAUUUUGAGAGUUUUUGGCUUAAAGGGUCAGCGUCCAAACAUUUACUUUGAUACAAGAACAAUAACACUAUCAAUCUUCAAAUCUUUUGAUAACAGAUAUAACAAAAUUAGGCAAAACGAAGAACACUAAUCACGACUAUCAAUCCUCUCAUUCUUUUGUAUAACCAAUAUACAAAAUUUAGCAAAACAGAACACUAAUAAACACUAUCCAUCUUCUCAUUUCUUGACAACAAUAUACAAAUUAGUAUGCUAAGAAAAAUAAGUAAAGAAAAACUUCACGUAAUAGAUUCCUUAAAGCAUGUGCGUGACGAAUAUAGAAGCAGUGGUGUGGCCCUUUGAAGCCAUUCAUAAAUUCCAACGAACAGUCGCGUCAUGGCUUACAUCGUGCCUAGUUGUGAUCUUCCAUAUCCUUAUUUGACUAAACGAGCUAUGGAGAAUUCCCCAUCAAUGCCUUUCAUUUUUGGGAGAUUUUUGGUAAAGGGUGUCAGCGCUUAAAUGUUUCUUGAUAACAAGAACACUAAAUGAAACACUAUGCAAUCUUCUCAUUUGCUUGAUUAACAAUAUUCAUAUUUUGCAAACAAGAACACUAAUAAACACUAUCACCUUAUCAUUUCUUUGAUAAACAAUUAUACAAUUUUAAAGCAAAACAAGAACACUAUCACACUAUCAAUCUUCUCAUUUCUUGGAUAACGAUUUACAAAAUAGCAAAUAAAAACACUAAUUAACACUACAAUUCUUCUCAUUUCUUUGACAACAAUAUACAAAAUUUACAAAACAAGUAACACUAAUAACAACUAUUCAAUCUUUCUUAUUUCUUGAUUAACAAUAUACAAAAUUAGCAAAUACAAGAACCUUAUAACACUACUCAAUCUUUCUCAUUUCUGAUAACAAUAUACAAAAUUCUAGCAAAACAAAGAACACUAAUAAACAUUCAAUCUUCUUCAUUCUUGAAACAAUAUACAAAAUUUUAGCAAAACAAGAACACUAAUAAACACUAUUCUAAUCUUCUUAUCUUACAAUAUACAAAAUUGCAAACAAGAAACACUUAAUAAACACUAUCAAUCUCUCAUUUUCUUAAUAACAAUAUACAAAAUUCUUAAUAUCAAUCUUCUCAUUUCUUUGAUAACGAUUACAAAAAUUUAGGCAAUAUAAGAACACUAAAUAACACUAUCAAUCUUUCUCUAUUUUCUUGAUAAACCAAUAUACCAAAAUUUAAAGCCAAACAAGAAUACUUAAUUAACCACUAUCAAUCUUCUCAUUUUUUGAUACAAUAUACAGAUUUUGUAUGCUAAGAAAAAAGAAGCAAAGAAAUAAAACUCACGUAAUAGGAGUCCUAAGAUAUGCGUACGAAUUAUAGGAACAGUUGUAGCCUUUGAAGCCAUCAAUAAAAAUUCAAUUACUAACUAGUGCGUCUAUGACUUACAUCGACUUGGUGCUGUUCUCAUGUAUCCUUAUUUUGGGACUGUAACAAGAAGCCAUGGAGAAUUUCCCCAUGGCAAUGCCUUUCAUUUUUUGAGAGAUUUUGCAAUGGGUCAUGCGUUCAAACGUUUCUUGAUAACAAGAACACUAAUAACACUAUCAAUCUUUCUCAUUUCUUUGUAACAAUAUACAAUAUUAGCAAAACAAGAAACACUAAUAACACUAAUCAACUUCCUAUUUCUUGAAAAAUAAUAACAAAAUUUAGCAAAACAAGAAACUAAAUAACACUAUCAAUUCUUCUCAUUUCUUUGAUAACAAUAUACAAAAUUUAGCAAACAAAGAACACAUAAUAAACACUAUCAAUCUUCUCAUUUCUAUGAUAACAAUAUAAAUUUAGCAAAACAGAACACUUAAUAAAACACUAUCAAUCUCUCAUAUCUUGAUAUCAUAUACAAAAUUUAGCAAAACAAGAACCACUAAUAACACUAUCAAUCUUCUCAUUUCUUUGAUAAACAAUAUACAAAAUUUAGCAAAACAAGACAAAAAACACUAUAUAUCUUUCUUAUGAUUAAUAUACAAAUUAGCAAACAAAACCUAUUCACACUUAAUACUUCUAUUUCUUGCAUAAACAUAUAAAAAUUUAGCAAAAAAGAAACAUACACACUACAAUCUUUCAUUUUGAUAAACAACCAUAUACAAAUUAGCACAACAUAAGAAACACGUAAUACACUAUAUCAAUUCUCUCAUUUCUUCGCAACCCAAUACACAGAUAGUUAGCUAAGAAAAAGAAGAAAGAAAUAACUCACGUACAAAGAGUCAAAGACUGCGUCGAACAUGAACGGCGUGUGGGUUGUGGAAGCAUCAUAAUUCAACGACAUGCGUAUGACUACACCCUUGGGUUGAUUUCCCAUCCUUAUUUGCUGAACAAGCAUGAGCAAUCCCCAUGCAAUGCCUCUCAUUUUUGAGAGUUUUGGCUAAAGGGACGCAACGUCAACAUUUCUGAUAACUAAUAAACUAAAUACACUCUAUUCUUUCAAAUUUCUUGAUACAAUCAUACAAAAUAGCAAAAAUGAACACUAAUAAACUAUCAAUCUUUUCAUUUUCUUGUAAAAAUAUUAACAAAAUUUAGCAAACAAGAAACUAAUACACACAUCUCUAUUCUUGAUUCAACUAACAAUUAGCAAACAAGCACUAAUAAAAUAUCAAUUUCUUGCAUUUGAUAACAAUAUACAUAAUUUAGCAAAACAAGAACACUAUAACCACACACUUCGUCAUUCUGUAACAAUAACAUAAAUUUACAAACAAGAACACUAAACUACGAUUCAUCUUUCUCGUUGAUAAACAAUAUACAAUUUAGUAAAAAAGAACACAAUUAACACAUUCAAUCUUUCAUUCGAUAACACUUCAAAAAUUAUCAAAAAGAAACAUAAUAACACUAUCACAUUUCUCAUUUCUUGAUAACUAAUUUACAAAACUAGCAAAACAAGUACACUAAUAACUAUUCACUUACUCAUUUUGAUAUUAAUAUAUCAUAAAAUUGCAAAAAGAACACUAAUAAUAUCAAUCUCUCAGUUUCUGAAACAAUAUAACGAUAUUAUGCUAAGAAAAGAAGCAAAGAAAUAACUCCAUAGAUCCUAAAGAUGUGCGUACGGAUAUAUAAAGUAGUGGUGUGCUUUGAGCCAUCUAAAAUAAAUGAGAAGUGCGUCUAGGCUUACAUCACUAUGGUUGUGAUCUUCCAUAUCCUUAAUGCUGAACAAACCAUGAGAAUUCCAUGCAUAGCCUUCAUUUUUGAGAGAUUUGCUAAAGGUCAGGUCAUUUAGAAAUACAAAAGCACGAUUCUUGAUAACAAGGCACACAAAUAACACUAUCAAUCUUCUCAUUUCUGAUAACAAUAUACAAAUAUGAGCAACAAAGAUAACACUAAUAAACACUAUCACCUCCUAUUCUUGAAUAAUUAUACAAAAUUUAGGCAAAACAAGGAAACACUAAUUAACUACUAUCAAUCUUUUCAUUUCUUGAUAACAAUAUACAAAAAUUUAAGCAAAACUAAGAAACACCAAUACACCUAUCAUACUCUUCUAUUUCUUGAUAACAAUAUAAAAAUUUAUCAAAACAAGAACACUAAUAACACUAUCAAUCUUCUCAUUUCUUGAUAUAUAGAUACAAAUUUAGCAAAACAAGAACAUUAAUGAACACUAUCGAAUCUUUCUCAUUUCUUGAAUAACAAAUUACAAAAAAUUUAGCAGAAACAAGAACACUAAUAACAUAUCAAUCUUCUCAUUUCUUGAUAACAAUAUACAAAAUUUU
Molecule: long non-coding RNA, 6993 nt
Filed under: Lathyrus oleraceus (garden pea)
Lineage: Eukaryota; Viridiplantae; Streptophyta; Magnoliopsida; Fabales; Fabaceae
Description: Pisum sativum (pea) long non-coding RNA (PSAT_LNC040016)
Source: RNAcentral